GCGGGCGUAGUUUAAUGGUAAAACACGACGCUUCCAACGUUGAGUCGGGGGUUCGAUUCCUCUCGCCCGCA
Molecule: transfer RNA, 71 nt
Filed under: Minisyncoccota bacterium
Lineage: Bacteria; Bacillati; Minisyncoccota
Description: tRNA-Gly
Rfam family: tRNA
About the family: Transfer RNA (tRNA) molecules are approximately 80 nucleotides in length. Their secondary structure includes four short double-helical elements and three loops (D, anti-codon, and T loops). Further hydrogen bonds mediate the characteristic L-shaped molecular structure. tRNAs have two regions of fundamental functional importance: the anti-codon, which is responsible for specific mRNA codon recognition, and the 3' end, to which the tRNAs corresponding amino acid is attached (by aminoacyl-tRNA synthetases). tRNAs cope with the degeneracy of the genetic code in two manners: having more than one tRNA (with a specific anti-codon) for a particular amino acid; and 'wobble' base-pairing, i.e. permitting non-standard base-pairing at the 3rd anti-codon position.
Source: RNAcentral